Molecule: ribosomal RNA, 406 nt
Filed under: uncultured bacterium
Lineage: Bacteria
Description: partial 16S ribosomal RNA
Rfam family: Bacterial small subunit ribosomal RNA
Source: RNAcentral
AUUGAACGCUGGCGGCAGGCCUAACACAUGCAAGUCGAACGAGUGGCGGACGGGUGAGUAAUGUCUGGGAAACUGCCCGAUGGAGGGGGAUAACUACUGGAAACGGUAGCUAAUACCGCAUACCAUCGGAUGUGCCCCGAUGGGAUUAGCUAGUAGUGGGGGUAACGGCUCAACUAGGCGACGAUCCCUCGAUGGUCUUAGAGGAUGACCAGCCACACUGGAACUGAGACACGGUCCAGACUCCUACGGGAGGCAGCAGUGGGGAAUAGUGCACAAUGGGCGCAAGCCUGAUGCAGCCAUGCCGCGUGUAUGAAGAAGGCCUUAGGGUUGUAAAGUACUUUCAGCGGGGAGGCGUUACCCGCAGAAGAAGCACCGGCUAACUCCGUGCCAGCAGCCGCGGUAAUUC